GCCCCGGUGGCGAAAAGGGAGACGCGGGGGUCUCAAACACCCUUGCCGCGAGGCGUGCCGGUUCGAGUCCGGCCCGGGGCACCA
RNAcentral lists this transfer RNA (84 nucleotides) under Mesorhizobium amorphae. Its description in RNAcentral is "tRNA-Leu". It matches the Rfam family "tRNA". From Rfam's summary of the family: Transfer RNA (tRNA) molecules are approximately 80 nucleotides in length. Their secondary structure includes four short double-helical elements and three loops (D, anti-codon, and T loops). The record is from RNAcentral. Lineage: Bacteria; Pseudomonadati; Pseudomonadota; Alphaproteobacteria; Hyphomicrobiales; Phyllobacteriaceae.